This 352-nucleotide unclassified non-coding RNA is filed under the name soil metagenome. Its description in RNAcentral is "partial contains 5.8S ribosomal RNA, internal transcribed spacer 2, and large subunit ribosomal RNA". The stretch from base 1 to 121 matches the Rfam family "5.8S ribosomal RNA", at positions 35 to 154 of the family's 154-position model. The record is from RNAcentral.
GAUGAAGAACGUAGCGAAAUGCGAUAAGUAAUGCGAAUUGCAGAAUUCCAGUGAGUCAUCGAAUCUUUGAACGCACAUGGCGCCUUCCAGUAUCCUGGGAGGCAUGCCUGUCCGAGCGUCGUUUCAACCCUCGAGCCCCCGUGGCCCGGCGUUGGGGAUCUGCCACGGCAGGCCCCUAAAACCAGUGGCGGACCCGAAGGCCCUCUCCUUUGCGCAGUAGCAUCAGCCUCGCAUUGGGAUCCCUCGGCGUCCUGCCUCUAAACCCCCCACAAGUCCGCUCCGGCGGCACCAAGGUUGACCUCGGAUCAGGUAGGAAUACCCGCUGAACUUAAGCAUAUCAAUAAGCGGAGGA